GACGAACGCUGGCGGCGUGCUUAACACAUGCAAGUCGUACGGUAAGGCCCUUUCGGGGGUACACGAGUGGCGAACGGGUGAGUAACACGUGAGUAACCUGCCCACAACUUUGGGAUAACGCUAGGAAACUGGUGCUAAUACUGGAUAUGUGCUCCAGCUGCAUGGAGGGGGUUGGAAAGCUCCGGCGGUUGUGGAUGUACUCGCGGCCUAUCAGCUUGUUGGUGGGGUAGUGGCCUACCAAGGCGGCGACGUGUAGCCGGCCUGUGAGGGUGACCGGCCAAACAGUCACUGAGCUACGGCCCCGACUCCUACGGGUGGCAGUAGUGGGAAAUUUUGCACUAUGGGCGCGCGUCUGGUGCAGCACCGCCGCGUGCGGGAUUACGCCCUUCGUGUUGGAGACCGAAUUCAGCAGGUACGAAGCUUUUUGUGACGGUACCUGCAGAAGAAGCACCGGCUAACUACGUG
This 465-nucleotide ribosomal RNA is filed under the name uncultured bacterium. RNAcentral describes it as "partial 16S ribosomal RNA". It matches the Rfam family "Bacterial small subunit ribosomal RNA", at positions 28 to 507 of the family's 1533-position model. The record is from RNAcentral.